This 392-nucleotide unclassified non-coding RNA is filed under the name soil metagenome. Its description in RNAcentral is "partial contains 5.8S ribosomal RNA, internal transcribed spacer 2, and large subunit ribosomal RNA". The stretch from base 1 to 122 matches the Rfam family "5.8S ribosomal RNA", at positions 35 to 154 of the family's 154-position model. The record is from RNAcentral.
GAUGAAGAACGUAGCGAAAUGCGAUACUUGGUGUGAAUUGCAGAAUCCCGUGAACCAUCGAGUCUUUGAACGCAAGUUGCGCCCGAAGCCAUCAGGUUGAGGGCACGUCUGCCUGGGCGUCACAUAUCGUUGCCCAAUGCCUAUUGCAGUGCAAUAGGAAUUUCUAGGGCGAAUGAUGGCUUCCCGUGAGCGUUGUUGCCUCGCGGUUGGUUGAAAAUCGAGUCCUUGGUAGGGUGUGCCAUGGUAGAUGGUGGUCGAGUUAGAACGAUACCGAUCAUGUGCAUGCUCCCCAAAAUAUGGCCUCUAUGACCCACACGCGUCUUUUGACGCUCAUGACGAGACCUCAGGUCAGGCGGGGCUACCCGCUGAAUUUAAGCAUAUCAAUAGGAGGA